GCGCAGCAGGCGAGAAUCCUUCGCAAUGCGGGAAACCGCGACGAGGGGACUCCCAGUGCCUACGCUCAGCGUAGGCUGUUCCCGAGCCUAGAAAGCUCGGGGAGUAAGGGCUGGGUAAGACGGGUGCCAGCCGCCGCGGUAAUACCCGCAGCCCGAGUGGUGGCCACUAUUAUUGGGCCUAAAGCGUCCGUAGCCGGCCCGGUAAAUGCCUGGGUAAAUCGUGAGGCCUAACCUCACGAAUUCCGGGUAGACUGCCGGGCUAGGGACCGGAGGAGGGAGAGGGUACUCCAGGGGUAGGGGUGAAAUCCUGUAAUCCCUGGAGGACCACCGGUGGCGAAGGCGCUCUCCUAGGACGGGUCCGACGGUGAGGGACGAAAGCCAGGGGAGCGAACCGGAUUAGAUACCCCGGUAGU
Molecule: ribosomal RNA, 413 nt
Filed under: uncultured microorganism
Description: bacterial SSU rRNA
Rfam family: Archaeal small subunit ribosomal RNA
Source: RNAcentral